UGCUUCCUAAGCUGAGGGCGGGUUCCCUCCAGCUCGACGAACAGGAAUGGGCGGGAGCCGGCAGCGGGCUGAGCGAUGGCUGUGACUUGGCUUGUGCUGGGAUAUUGGCAACUCCCAUUUGUCGUGAUGUCCCAUCGGAUGGCUAAACCAAGACAUAGAACUGUGCCCAGCACCCUGUGAGAGGCACAGCCCCAGGAAGAGAGCAUGAGAAGAUACUUGCU
Molecule: long non-coding RNA, 221 nt
Filed under: Phasianus colchicus (ring-necked pheasant)
Lineage: Eukaryota; Metazoa; Chordata; Aves; Galliformes; Phasianidae
Description: lncRNA (ENSPCLG00000004361.1)
Source: RNAcentral